Molecule: long non-coding RNA, 711 nt
Filed under: Heterocephalus glaber (naked mole-rat)
Lineage: Eukaryota; Metazoa; Chordata; Mammalia; Rodentia; Bathyergidae
Description: lncRNA (ENSHGLG00100044077.1)
Source: RNAcentral
AGGAAAGUCACCCAGCUCCAGGUAUGAGUGCCACAGAGGCGUUGCUGUGAUUCUGCCCCUGCCUCUCCCCACAAAGCGUCUGAACCAGCAUCAGUGUCUAAUCAGGGGACAGGCGCUUCAGGUCCCCCAACACUACCGGAGGAGUCAGGACCAGAGACCUUUUCCAAUAACAGAGCCAGUGUCAACAGGAAGUGCCUGAGGAAAUCCCCAUCUCCCAGUAGGCACCACCAUUACCACUGCAGGAGUAUCCACACAGGGUACACAACACGCUCUUCUACCUAACCUACCCCUGCCAUAAAUGCUAGACUGUUCCACUUCUGCAGGACCCACAGCAAGAGACAGCAAGUCUAUUCAAUCUGAUACAGUGUAUGCUGUGCCCAAAUUCAUGAAACAUAUCAUAAGAAGCUACAGGGAGAUCACACUUUGGUACCCAACUAGAAAUAAACUCAGCAAUGCACAGCAGAACAAUACUCAAGACACAUCUUCAGCAGAAAGUCCCUUCACAAGGAGAUAUCCCAUAAAAGCUGUUGAGAUAUCCAUUUCGCCAGAUGUGUAAAUUUCAACGCAGAAAAUCAGAAAUCUGAAAAAACAAGGAUCACCUUAGAAUUAAGAUCUACCUCUGAUCCACAAAUCAAAGUACAGUCAUGGAAAAUAUUUUUUGAGGGAAUGGAUAUUCUUGGCUGAGAGCAGAGUCUGAUUGGCAAGGGAAGG